AAGGAUUUAAGUUAAUUAAACUAUUAACCUUCAAAGUUAAAAAUGGAUUAUUUCUAAGCCUU
This 62-nucleotide transfer RNA is filed under the name Cucujoidea sp. 35 KM-2017. Its description in RNAcentral is "tRNA-Trp". Lineage: Eukaryota; Metazoa; Arthropoda; Insecta; Coleoptera. The record is from RNAcentral.